CAGAUAGUGAAUGAGGACAGAAAAGGCAUAAAAACUGGUACACCAAAGACAAGGGGCACACGCAGUCCUAGCCAAAGUCCCCACUAAAGAGAUUAAGAUCUUGCUCUGACCAGUCAGUUAACCACAGAGCGAACAUUCAGCUUCUCGCAUCCCGCGCCCAGCAGGGACCUCAUUUAUAGCUGAACAGAGGCUGAAGAGGAAAAGAGCAUGUGCUUGGGCAUUCAUGGGAACCCACCUGUCUCUGGAUCCCCAACGCUGAGUAGGGUCUAGCAGAGGCAGUCCCUCAACCCUGGUCCACUGAUCUCCCUAGCUCCUGCUGCUUCCAAACCACAGACACAACUUCCCCACAUGCAGUGUGGACUCAAGGAGACUCUGCAAAUCCCUGACCUAAAACCACAGAAAUGAGGCAGGGCCAAAGAUCCUCUUCCAGGACAAGCCGUGUUGGAGGCGUGGGGCCCGGCCUCUGGGUUACAGGUUGUCUUAAGGAGGUGUUCCCGGGUUGGUGCCAUUCCCAGACCCCCUACCUGUCCCCAGUGGGAGCCAGUCCAACUCUUUCUGCCUCCGGCUCCGACGGCUCAGCCCGGCUUGGCCCAGUGCGGUUGCCGGACUCAGGUGAGGCUCUGGAGUCUCAAAGGCGGUCCUGGAAGAGGCAGAAGCUGCCCAUUCCUAUCAGCAUCCCUUCCAGGGGAAAAGUGGGCGAGCCAGGAGCAACAAAACAGGAAAGUCUGCGUGUC
Long non-coding RNA from Lontra canadensis (Northern American river otter), 734 nucleotides. RefSeq lists it as uncharacterized. The transcript has 3 exons. The record is from RefSeq and is a predicted model, not a curated record. Lineage: Eukaryota; Metazoa; Chordata; Mammalia; Carnivora; Mustelidae.